UGUGACAUCACAAUCCUCCAAUGUGAUAUCACAAUGCUCCAAUUUGCCAACACUGUGGCCACCUGUGCUAUUAUAUUGCUCAAAAGUGUCAUCACAAUG
This is a microRNA precursor of Nannospalax galili (Upper Galilee mountains blind mole rat), 99 nucleotides long. NCBI's taxonomy places the organism in Eukaryota, Metazoa, Chordata, Mammalia, Rodentia, Spalacidae. The record is from Ensembl.